GUAAGUAGCACUUAGCACCUGUUAGUCAAGAAUUAUGGUCCCCUUUUUUGUCCUGGAGCAUUUUUACUUUGAAUUCAUACUGCUCUCUUCAACUGAUCACACAACUCAGUCAUCCGUAGUCACAGAGGCUUUUCCUUUCAUCCUUACAGUACCUUGACAACACCUAUGCUACUGUAUCAGUUCCAGUGACACAUAAGUACCAGUUCAUCCAAUAUCCUGCCUUUUCUGACACAGGU
Athene cunicularia (burrowing owl) is the source of this 236-nucleotide long non-coding RNA. RefSeq lists it as uncharacterized. The record is from RefSeq and is a predicted model, not a curated record. NCBI's taxonomy places the organism in Eukaryota, Metazoa, Chordata, Aves, Strigiformes, Strigidae. The transcript has 3 exons.